This 67-nucleotide transfer RNA is filed under the name Archisepsis discolor. RNAcentral's name for it is "tRNA-Trp". Lineage: Eukaryota; Metazoa; Arthropoda; Insecta; Diptera; Sepsidae. The record is from RNAcentral.
AAGGUUUUAAGUUAAAUAAACUAAUAGCCUUCAAAGCUAUCAAUAUAAGAUACUCUUUUAAGCCUUA